AACCGGGGGAACUGAAACAUCUAAGUACCCCGAGGAAAAAAAAUCAACCGAGAUUCCCCCAGUAGCGGCGAGCGAACGGGGAGCAGCCCAGAGUCUGAAUCAGCUUGUGUGUUAGUGGAACGGUCUGGAAAGUCCGACGGUACAGGGUGAUAGUCCCGUACACCAAAAUGCACAGGCUGUGAACUCGAAGAGUAGGGCGGGACACGUGGUAUCCUGUCUGAAUAUGGGGGGACCAUCCUCCAAGGCUAAAUACUCCUGACUGACCGAUAGUGAACCAGUACCGUGAGGGAAAGGCGAAAAGAACCCCGGCGAGGGGAGUGAAAAAGAACCUGAAACCGUGUACGUACAAGCAGUGGGAGCACCUUCGGGUGUGACUGCGUACCUUUUGUAUAAUGGGUCAGCGACUUAUAUUCUGUAGCAAGGUUAACCGUAUAGGGGAGCCGCAGGGAAACCGAGUCUUAACUGGGCGUUAAGUUGCAGGGUAUAGACCCGAAACCCGGUGAUCUAGCCAUGGGCAGGUUGAAGGUUGGGUAACACUAACUGGAGGACCGAACCGACUAAUGUUGAAAAAUUAGCGGAUGACUUGUGGCUGGGGGUGAAAGGCCAAUCAAACCGGGAGAUAGCUGGUUCUCCCCGAAAGCU
This 642-nucleotide ribosomal RNA is filed under the name Klebsiella pneumoniae. Its description in RNAcentral is "partial 23S ribosomal RNA". It matches the Rfam family "Bacterial large subunit ribosomal RNA", at positions 181 to 867 of the family's 2925-position model. Lineage: Bacteria; Pseudomonadati; Pseudomonadota; Gammaproteobacteria; Enterobacterales; Enterobacteriaceae. The record is from RNAcentral.